This is a long non-coding RNA of Olea europaea var. sylvestris, 496 nucleotides long. RefSeq lists it as uncharacterized. The record is from RefSeq and is a predicted model, not a curated record. The transcript has 4 exons. Lineage: Eukaryota; Viridiplantae; Streptophyta; Magnoliopsida; Lamiales; Oleaceae.
UUUUGUCCUGUUACCCGUCAAAAUGUUUGGCGUCCCUGAUUUUCGAAUUUGCUAUCGUCUUCUCCGAGAAUAAAACGUGAGCGGAGCAGACUGUGUUCUUUGAAGAGAGACAGAAAUGGACGUGAAACAAGCUGGCUCUUCUCUGGACUCUCUGAUUUCCUCAUUCAACACUCGAAUAGUGGAGCUCCAGCAAUUCGUAAUUGCCCGCAACAUGUACCCAGCAAGCAGCAUCAGUGAUUUAUCAGAAAUCGACUCCGCCGUGAAGGGAAUGGAGCUCCAGGUGCAAAAAAUCAAAGAUAGAUUGCGAGAAGAAACACAAGCCCUUCCCAAAGCUAAAGAUUGAUUGAGAGAUGUAUUUGUUCGAACAACAGAAGUUAAUAGAGGCCUCAUUGCGGUAGCAAAUGAAGUUGAAGAGUAUGUCAGCCUCUGUUCCAUCCUACUUGCCUGAAAUAGCAACCAGCAUUAUUCAUGAUACAAGUGCAAGCGUGAAACAAGC